UGGGGAAUAUUGCACAAUGGGCGAAAGCCUGAUGCAGCAACGCCGCGUGAGUGAUGAAGGCCUUCGGGUUGUAAAGCUCUGUCUUCUGGGACGAUAAUGACGGUACCAGAGGAGGAAGCCACGGCUAACUACGUGCCAGCAGCCGCGGUAAUACGUAGGUGGCAAGCGUUGUCCGGAUUUACUGGGCGUAAAGGAUGCGUAGGCGGAUACUUAAGUCAGAUGUGAAAAUCCCGGGCUUAACUUGGGAACUGCAUCUGAAACUGGGUAUCUAGAGUGCGGGAGAGGAAAGUGGAAUUCCUAGUGUAGCGGUCAAAUGCGUAGAGAUUAGGAACAACACCAGUGGCGAAGGCGACUUUCUGGACCGUAACUGACGCUGAGGCAUGAAAGCGUGGGGAGCAAACA
RNAcentral lists this ribosomal RNA (402 nucleotides) under uncultured bacterium. Its description in RNAcentral is "bacterial SSU rRNA". It matches the Rfam family "Bacterial small subunit ribosomal RNA", at positions 355 to 774 of the family's 1533-position model. The record is from RNAcentral.